GACGAACGCUGGCGGCGUGCUUAACACAUGCAAGUCGAACGGAAAGGCCCUGCUUUUGUGGGGUGCUCGAGUGGCGAACGGGUGAGUAACAAGUGAGUAACCUGCCCUUGACUUUGGGAUAACUUCAGGUAACUGGGGCUAAUACCUGAUAGAUACUCCGGCUGCAUGGUGGGGGUUGGAAAGUUUCGGCGGUUGGUGAUUGGCUCGCGGCUUAUCCUCUUGUUGGUGGGGUAGUGGCUUACCAAGGCUUUGACGGAUAGCCGGCCUGAGAGGGUGGCCGGCCACAUUGGGACUGAGAGACGGCCCAGACUCCUACGUGAGGCAGCAGUGGGGAAUAUUGCACAAUGGGCGGAAGCCUGAUGCAGCAACGCCGCGUGCGGGAUGACGGGCUUCGGGUUGUAAACCGCUUUCGCCUGUGCCGCAGCGUGAGUGACGGUAAUGGGUAAAGAAGCACCGGCUAACUACGUG
This 468-nucleotide ribosomal RNA is filed under the name uncultured bacterium. RNAcentral's name for it is "partial 16S ribosomal RNA". It matches the Rfam family "Bacterial small subunit ribosomal RNA", at positions 28 to 507 of the family's 1533-position model. The record is from RNAcentral.